This 1735-nucleotide ribosomal RNA is filed under the name Begonia fuchsioides. RNAcentral's name for it is "bacterial SSU rRNA". The stretch from base 2 to 988 matches the Rfam family "Eukaryotic small subunit ribosomal RNA", at positions 4 to 1116 of the family's 1831-position model. The record is from RNAcentral. Lineage: Eukaryota; Viridiplantae; Streptophyta; Magnoliopsida; Cucurbitales; Begoniaceae.
CCUGGUUGAUCCUGCCAGUAGUCAUAUGCUUGUCUCAAAGAUUAAGCCAUGCAUGUGUAAGUAUGAACUAAUUCAAACUGUGAAACUGUGAAUGGCUCAUUAAAUCAGUUAUAGUUUGUUUGAUGGUACUUGCUACUCGGAUAACCAUAGUAAAUCUAGAGCUAAUACGUGCAACAAACCGUGACUUCUAGAGGGGACACAUUUAUUAGAUAAAAGGUCGACGCGGACCUAGUCCGUUGCUCUGAUGAUUCAUGAUAACUUGACGGAUUGCACAGCCUUUGUGCUGGCGAUGCAUCAUUGAAAAUUCUGCCCUAUCAACUUUCGAUGGUAGGAUAUUGGCCUACUAUGGUGGUGAUGGGUGACGGAGAAUUAGGUUUUGAUUCUAGAGAGGGAGCCCGAGAACGGCUACCGCAUCCAAGGAAGGCAACAGGUGCGCAAAUUACCCAAUCCUGACACGGGGAGGUAGUGACAAUAAAUAACAAUACCGGGCUCUUCGAGUCUAGUAAUAUGAAUGAGUACAAUCUAAAUCCCUUAACGAGGAUCCAUUGGAGGGCAAUUCUGGUGCCAGCAGCCCCGGUAAUUCCAACUCCAAUAGCGUAUAUUUAAGUUGCUACAGUUAAAAAGCUCGUAGUUGGAUCUCGGGAUAUGUCUGUCGGUCUGCCUUAUGGUGUGGACCGUCAGUCGCGUCCUUUCUGCCGGCGAUGCCUUCCUGGCCUUAAUUGGCCAGGUAGUUCCUCCGACGUUGUUACUUUGAAGAAAUUAGAGUGAUCAAAGCAAGCCUUCACUCUGUAUACAUUAGCAUGGGAUAACUUCAUAGGAUUUCGAUCCUAUUCUGUUGGCCUUCGGGAUCAGAGUAAUGAUUAACAGGGAAGGUCGGGGGCAUUCGUAUUUCAUAGUCAGAGGUGAAAUUCUUGGAUUCAUGAAAGACGAACAACUGUGCGCGCAUAACCCCUUGUGUCGCACUCAUCCAAAAUCCGAGCCCCUUGUGCGCGCAUAACCCGACCCAUGGUGCGCCGACCUCCCCGGACAGCACAUCACGGCCAUGGCCCGGCAGGCGCGCGUGAGGUGCAGCCAUGGCACGGCGCGUGCGCUGAAGGGUGCGGCCAUGGCAGUGCACUCACGCAAGAGGGUACAACCAUGGCGCUGUGCGCGCGGCGCAAUUCGAGGCUUCCAAAUGCACUACCAUGCAAUGUCACCGAGCCAUUCGUGUGCAAACGAUAUUGGAAUGAGCUGAAACUUUUUUACAUGUGCACAACGACAAAUGAGGAUGUUCCUCAGCGUGUGGUGAGGUUUGGUAAUUUCUACGAUUUAUCGUAAUUUUUUGAAUGACAGAAACUAAAUAAAUCACCAAAAAUUGGCACAUCAUCCAACAUUUCUCAAAAAUUGAGGAUAGACCCCUCUUUGGUGCCCCUUUAAAGUUGCGAAAUUGGUUUGGGAAAGAAAGUUCAAAAUCUUGAGUUUUUGAAAAAAGUGACGCUUCGGCUACAUACGAUGUGCACUACUGCCAGGGCCAAAGUGGCCCUGAUGUGCAACCGGAGCACACCACGGACCUAGCCCCGAUGAGCACGAAAGAUUUUACUAACUUAGUUUCUCAUUUUGCAGGAAACAUAGUCUCGGAAAUGCCUUCCGAACAUGAUCGGGAAUGACCCAAAGUCUCGGUCACAUGAUGUCCGACCACUCCCGGCCCCGACACGCCCAACAACGAACAUCCCGAUCACCUACCAACGACCAACAA